GAUGAGAACGCAGCGAAAUGCGAUAAGUAAUGUGAAUUGCAGAAUUCAGUGAAUCAUCGAAUCUUUGAACGCACAUUGCGCCCAUUAGCAUUCUAGUGGGCAUGCCUGUUCGAGCGUCAUUUCAACCCUUAAGCCCUGUUGCUUAGCGUUGGGAGCCUACAGUACUGUAGCUCCCCAAAGUUAGUGGCGGAGUCGGUUUCACACUCUAGACGUAGUAAUUUUUUCUCGUCUGUAGUUGAGCCGGUCCCCUGCCGUAAAACACCCAAUUUAUCAAGGUUGACCUCGGAUCAGGUAGGAAUACCCGCUGAACUUAAGCAUAUCAAUAAGCGGAGGA
Molecule: unclassified non-coding RNA, 334 nt
Filed under: soil metagenome
Description: partial contains 5.8S ribosomal RNA, internal transcribed spacer 2, and large subunit ribosomal RNA
Rfam family: 5.8S ribosomal RNA (bases 5-119)
Source: RNAcentral